CAGAAAUCAGUUUCCCAAUUACAUUUGGUCAUGCAGCAGAAAUUACAGAUGUGGCCAUUACAACAGUGUGCAGUUUGAAUGGUACUGAAUAUCAGUGCACGUGUGAGGAUCAGUACUUAUGGCCAUGUGAAAAGUGCACAGUAUAUGGGUCUUGUAAUAAUGUCACCAAUUCCUCGUGUGACUGCAUCAACGCUCUUCCAAAUGAUGGACACUUCUGCCAACCAAUCAAUGAGCUGAUGACUAACUCUACAUGUCCAACUGAACCACCCCCAGGUAAA
Molecule: long non-coding RNA, 278 nt
Organism: Ictalurus furcatus (blue catfish)
Lineage: Eukaryota; Metazoa; Chordata; Actinopteri; Siluriformes; Ictaluridae
Exons: 3
Source: RefSeq, a predicted model, not a curated record